AAAACUGCCUGUGCAUCUAUUUCGGAGUUCUGUACGCCUUGUACCAUUUCCCCCGUUUCAUUUUGGGCCGCCGUGGGCUUAGCCGCUCAUUCUUUGUUUCCUUCUCUUCAGCUUCCUUUCUACUGUUCUUGUUCUUUCUCACAAUCUCUAUUUCUUCCUCUACCGCGCACCCGCCUACACUCCUCUGCUGUGCAUAAACCGGUGAUUCAGUAAGUUAUACCGCUGAAAAUGAUUUCACUCGCUGCAAGAUUCACUAAGUUGUUAAGAGCCUCUUGUCCUACCACGCGCAGCUCUCCUCCAGUGAUGGGUUUGCAACGAAGCUUGAGGUCAUGUUACUCAACUGUGUCGUCCAAUGGGGACAAUGGUGGUCGGAAGGAUGAUGAAUUGGACGAGGAGUUUGAUGAUUUUCUUAGUGAAAAGCCAGAGUUACAGCUCCAAGGUGUGGAUCCCCGGAAAGGUUGGGGAUUUCGUGGUGUCCACAAGGCGAUCAUCUGUGGUAAAGUUGGGCAAGCUCCAGUGCAGAAGAUCUUGAGGAAUGGCCGAACUGUAACCAUAUUUACUGUUGGAACAGGUGGCAUGUUUGACCAAAGAAUUGUAGGAGCAAAAGACUUGCCAAAACCUGCUCAGUGGCAUCGAAUUGCUGUGCAUAAUGAGAUGCUUGGGGCUUAUGCUGUUCAACAACUUGCCAAAAAUUCCUCUGUUUAUGUUGAGGGUGACAUUGAAACUAGAGUUUACAAUGAUAGUAUCAGUGGUGAAGUUAAAAACAUUCCGGAGAUUUGUGUUCGUCGUGAUGGGAAAAUUCGCCUUGUAACAAGUGGAAAAGUCACCAGUGAUAUUUCAUUUGAGGAUCUACGAGAGGGAUUGUUUAACUGAAAGCUGGUGCAUUGCAGAAAUCUGAGUCUCAGAAAGCAGGACCAGCUAGACUUUUGUAAGAAAUAGAUAUUGUUUAAGUAGUGUGACAAAUUGGUUUAAUUAUUUCAGUGUUCCCGACUUCCUAUCCACAAUCUGGUUGUUUAGCAUGUCUUUUCUCUAUCAUGAUCAUCUGUGUGCAUGCAGGUGCUGGUGUAUACCCCUUUUUUUUUUAAUGUUAGGCAACACAAUAGGGAAAUACUUCUUCUUCACUCGAUAAAUCCCUCUGUAUUAGGACUUGAAUCUGAGAUUUUUAAGUUGAACUCAAAUUCCAACUGUUGGAGUGUACCUUUUAGGAUAUAUUUUUAGUUAAUUAUUUGCAUUAAAGAUAGUUCCAUUACAUUCCAGCUGAGCAUUUGAAGACUACAUCUUAGCUCUGUUUAUACUUCUACCUAUAGACAGCAAAGCCAUCCUACAAAUGACAAAUAUCAGCAACGACAUUAACUUUUUGCAGUCACUUCCAUUCUUCCAGCUUUGGUGAAACUUCCUCUUAGGAAACACAUAAUCAUGUAACAACUGCAAAAUA
RNAcentral lists this unclassified non-coding RNA (1435 nucleotides) under Hevea brasiliensis (rubber tree). The record is from RNAcentral. Lineage: Eukaryota; Viridiplantae; Streptophyta; Magnoliopsida; Malpighiales; Euphorbiaceae.